GUGAGGUGGUUACCCGCGCCCACACAUGUCGCCGCCCUAGGUAUAGAAAGAGGGCCCCGACCACAGAAAAGGGAACUCCGGGGAAGUUCCGCCGACUGUGUUGGCGCGUCAACCGUGAAGCUCAUGGCGACGAUCGUUUAUCUGAUUACAAGGCGGUGGUGGUGCAAUUGAGACCUCAGACAGUCGGCGGCUAGGGUUCGUGACCUGAAGGUGAUGACGGAGACGAUGUAGAUUAAGUUUCAGGCGAUCAAUGGUGUCAAACAAUGGUCGUUCUAAACAAAUGCACGGUCAGCGUCGACGGUCAAAACAGGGAACACGUUCUGGUCACCUAUGGUUUAGGGUUUUGAAAGUACCGACGAUUAGGAAGGCGAUAUGUUUGGGUGCAUAUUAAAUUUGUUGGUUUCUCUUCUACUUCUUGAGACAUUCAUAAAAGAGAGAAGAAAAAAGAAACAGUGACACUUCUCUCUCAUCUUCAUUUCCAAAAUACUACACACAUAGUAAAGGUGAGAAAGAGGCAAGAUGGCAGUGGUCAUUUCAGUGUGCUUCAGGUCUGGUGAAGCAUGAAGGCGGUGGUCGUUUCGGGGUGCUUCAGGUCCGCUGAGAAGGAGAGGUGCAACAGUGGCUACGGUUUCGAGCAGGGGUUCACUUACCGCCACAGGUUCAGCUCGGCCAGAUUUCCGAGGAGGACUUGAAUGCUUACAGCGGCAAUGAUCCUCAAAGGCCUCUUCUUAUGGCCAUCAAAGGCCAGAUCUAUGAGACUAUGAUGUCUCGCAAAACAGGUCAUCUAUCAUCAAUUUCGAGGGUUUGAUUUAGUAUUACUUUCAGCUCAUCGGCGCCAUUCUUAGAGCCGAUUCUCAUACCAGCACAGGAUUGUAUGUGGCGAAUAGAGCUUCCGGGAUGUAAAAAGACAUAUUUGUUCUAAAACCGAUAACUGAGGUUGAUAGCAAUAUCAAUAUUUAUGGACUGAGCUACCCGCUAUUCUUACGAAGAAGAGAAGCUGCAGACUGACCAUGAAAGGAAAGAAAAAGAAAAAAGAAUCAGCUAUUCGAGUUUCAACAGAGAACGAGAUAUCUACCCUAAAGGCUGAGAUUUCAUCAUUGAGCAAAAAAGGAGGUUCAGUAUCAAAAAGUACGAGUCAAGAACCCGUACUUCUUAAAGGACGUGUUUUUGACAAGGAAAAGGAGAUAAACUGCCUACAAGAAGAAAAGAAACGAGCCAAUGCGGAGAAAAGCAAGAUCGAGCACGAAUUAAGUAAUCUUAAAACUCAGUUGCUUAACGUACAAACCGAAAAGAAAAAGCUAACGCAGGAUCUUCAAAAAGAGAGAGCUAGAGCGGAAUCGGAGAAAAAACGAGCUGAUGAAAUGUCGAAAACUUUAAAAACUAAACAGGCGGAAGUUGAAGUUCUUAAGUCCGAGAAAAAGAAUAACGCAGAAAUCCGAGCAUCAGAAUUUGGAAAUAGAAAUUGGGCGGCUCAAAGAGCUUUAUGUAAACGAGAGAAAAGGAGCUGAUUGUGAGGCAAAAAAAGCCGAAACCGAGAAGAGAAACACUCACAAAGUGAAAGAAAUGUUGAAGGCUGAGCAGUGGGGUGGGUCAAUAACCAAAAUGCAUCGCCCGAGGAAUUUGCCGCGAAACGCGCCGGCCAUGAAACCACUAGUUAAAAAUAAAAAUCGAAUGUUUUGAACAGUACCAAAUGAACAGUACAAAACUAGAAAAAGUUAAAAUA
Molecule: long non-coding RNA, 1723 nt
Filed under: Helianthus annuus (common sunflower)
Lineage: Eukaryota; Viridiplantae; Streptophyta; Magnoliopsida; Asterales; Asteraceae
Source: RNAcentral